GCCGGGGUGGCGUAGUUGGUAGCGCGUCGGACUCAUAGGGUAAUUUUUGGUGGAAAUAUGAUUUUUGUCGAAACUAGUCAUGAGCGCAACAGCCUGCUUUGAGUGUCUGAGACAUCCGAAGGUCGCGGGUUCAAGUCCCGCUCCCGGCA
RNAcentral lists this transfer RNA (149 nucleotides) under uncultured Poseidoniia archaeon. RNAcentral describes it as "uncultured Candidatus Thalassoarchaea euryarchaeote tRNA-Met". It matches the Rfam family "tRNA". Rfam says of the family: Transfer RNA (tRNA) molecules are approximately 80 nucleotides in length. Their secondary structure includes four short double-helical elements and three loops (D, anti-codon, and T loops). Lineage: Archaea; Methanobacteriati; Thermoplasmatota; Candidatus Poseidoniia. The record is from RNAcentral.